This 443-nucleotide ribosomal RNA is filed under the name uncultured bacterium. RNAcentral's name for it is "partial 16S ribosomal RNA". It matches the Rfam family "Bacterial small subunit ribosomal RNA", at positions 338 to 795 of the family's 1533-position model. The record is from RNAcentral.
CCUACGGGAGGCAGCAGUGGGGAAUAUUGGGCAAUGGGCGCAAGCCUGACCCAGCAACGCCGCGUGAAGGAAGAAGGCUUUCGGGUUGUAAACUUCUUUUCUCAUGGACGAAGCAAGUGACGGUACCUGAGGAAUAAGCCACGGCUAACUACGUGCCAGCAGCCGCGGUAAUACGUAGGUGGCAAGCGUUAUCCGGAUUUACUGGGUGUAAAGGGCGUGUAGGCGGGGACGCAAGUCAGAUGUGAAAACCACGCGCUCAACCUGUGGCCUGCAUUUGAAACUGUGUUUCUUGAGUACUGGAGAGGCAGGCGGAAUUCCUGGUGUAGCGGUGAAAUGCGUAGAUAUUAGGAGGAACACCAGUGGCGAAGGCGGUCUUCUGGACCGCAACUGACGCUGAGGCGCGAAAGCGUGGGUAGCAAACAGGAUUAGAUACCCGAGUAGUC